RNAcentral lists this ribosomal RNA (1118 nucleotides) under uncultured Eleutherascus. Its description in RNAcentral is "bacterial SSU rRNA". It matches the Rfam family "Eukaryotic small subunit ribosomal RNA", at positions 20 to 1116 of the family's 1831-position model. Lineage: Eukaryota; Fungi; Ascomycota; Pezizomycetes; Pezizales; Ascodesmidaceae. The record is from RNAcentral.
GUAGUCAUAUGCUUGUCUCAAAGAUUAAGCCAUGCAUGUCUAAGUAUAAGCAAUCUGUACAGUGAAACUGCGAAUGGCUCAUUAAAUCAGUUAUCGUUUAUUUGAUAGUACCUUACUACAUGGAUAACCGUGGUAAUUCUAGAGCUAAUACAUGCUAAAAACCUCGACCUCCGGAAGGGGUGUAUUUAUUAGAUAAAAAACCAAUGGCUUCGGCCUCCGUGGUGAAUCAUAAUAACUUCACGAAUCGCAUGGCCUUGCGCCGGCGAUGGUUCAUUCAAAUUUCUGCCCUAUCAACUUUCGAUGGUAGGAUAGUGGCCUACCAUGGUUGCAACGGGUAACGGGGAAUUAGGGUUCGAUUCCGGAGAGGGAGCCUGAGAAACGGCUACCACAUCCAAGGAAGGCAGCAGGCGCGCAAAUUACCCAAUCCCGACGCGGGGAGGUAGUGACAAUAAAUACUGAUGCAGGGCCCUUUCGGGUCUUGUAAUCGGAAUGAGUACAAUUUAAAUCCCUUAACGAGGAACAAUUGGAGGGCAAGUCUGGUGCCAGCAGCCGCGGUAAUUCCAGCUCCAAUAGCGUAUAUUAAAGUUGUUGCAGUUAAAAAGCUCGUAGUUGAACCUUGGGUCUGGCUGAUCGGUCCGCCUCACCGCGUGCACUGGUUCGGCCGGGCCUUUCCUUCUGGCAAACCCCAUGCCCUUCGCUGGGUGUGGUGGGGAGCCAGGACUUUUACUUUGAAAAAAUUAGAGUGUUCAAAGCAGGCAUAUGCUCGAAUACAUUAGCAUGGAAUAAUAGAAUAGGACGUGCGGUUCUAUUUUGUUGGUUUCUAGGACCGCCGUAAUGAUUAAUAGGGAUAGUCGGGGGCAUCCGUAUUCAAUUGUCAGAGGUGAAAUUCUUGGAUUUAUUGAAGACGAACUACUGCGAAGCAUUUGCCCAGGAUGUUUUCAUAAUCAUGGACGAAAGUUGAGGGAUCGAAGACGAUCGAUACCGUCUAGUCCCACCAUAACUAUGACGACUAAGGGAUUGGCCGAUGCUUAUUAUUCUUGACUCGCCUCGCCCUUGCGAGAAAUCAAAAAACUUCUGCGGUCUCAUGGGGGGAAUGAUAGGACAAGAUCGCAGAGAGA